This 372-nucleotide long non-coding RNA is filed under the name Gallus gallus (chicken). RNAcentral describes it as "lncRNA (ENSGALG00010010798.1)". The record is from RNAcentral. Lineage: Eukaryota; Metazoa; Chordata; Aves; Galliformes; Phasianidae.
GGUAGAGAUUCCAAACUAUAGCUUGUUCUUGGCAUAAGAUCAAAUGUCACAUAUUGGAUGCUCAUCACAUGUGAAAUACCAGGAUGCCAACUGCUUUUAUUUAGCCAAGCACCACAUUGGCCCUGUCCCAGAAGCUGGGGACACAUUCAGUACUCAUUCGGAAUUCACAGCCUUUGUUCUUCUGGUAAGAGUGCCAAACAAGAAUGCAAUCAACUGCAGACUUCUGCCUAUUCCUUAAGGUAUUAUGAAUGGAACCCAUUCCUGAAUCUUGUCUCUACUGGAAGAUCUUCAUAUCUUCUACUUUGCAUUCUAAUGGAUAAACUUUGUUUUCAGUUAUUUGUGGUAACUCUAAAUGUUCUAGAUGAAAUUAAG